GACGAACGCUGGCGGCGUGCUUAACACAUGCAAGUCGAACGGAAAGGCCCUGCUUUUGUGGGGUGCUCGAGUGGCGAACGGGUGAGUAACACGUGAGUAACCUGCCCUUGACUUUGGGAUAACUUCAGGAAACUGGGGCUAAUACCGGAUAGGAGCUCCUGCUGCAUGGUGGGGGUUGGAAAGUUUCGGCGGUUGGGGAUGGACUCGCGGCUUAUCAGCUUGUUGGUGGGGUAGUGGCUUACCAAGGCUUUGACGGGUGGCCGGCCUGAGAGGGUGACCGGCCACAUUGGGACUGAGAUACGGCCCAGACUCCUACGGGAGGCAGCAGUGGGGAAUAUUGCACAAUGGGCGGAAGCCUGAUGCAGCAACGCCGCGUGCGGGAUGACGGCCUUCGGGCUGUAAACCGCUUUCGCCUGUGACGAAGCGUGAGUGACGGUAAUGGGUAAAGAAGCACCGGCUAACUACGUG
RNAcentral lists this ribosomal RNA (468 nucleotides) under uncultured bacterium. RNAcentral describes it as "partial 16S ribosomal RNA". It matches the Rfam family "Bacterial small subunit ribosomal RNA", at positions 28 to 507 of the family's 1533-position model. The record is from RNAcentral.